CCUACGGGAGGCAGCAGUGAGGAAUAUUGGUCAAUGGGCGCGAGCCUGAACCAGCCAAGUCGCGUGAGGGAGGACGGCCCUACGGGUUGUAAACCUCUUUUGCCGGGGAGCAACGGGCGUCACGUGUGGCGCCACUGAGAUUACCCGUAGAAAAAGCAUCGGCUAACUCCGUGCCAGCAGCCGCGGUAAUACGGAGGAUGCGAGCGUUAUCCGGAUUUAUUGGUUUUAAAGGGUGGGUAGGCGGAUUGUUAAGUUAGCGGUGAAAUGUUCGGGCUUAACUCGGUAACUGCCUUUGAUACUGGUGAUCUAGAGUGUAGAUGAGGUAGGCGGAAUGUGUGGUGUAGCGGUGAAAUGCUUAGAGAUCAUGAAGAACACCGAUUGCGAAGGCAGCUUACCAAUCUAUAUCUGACGUUGAGGCACGAAAGCGUGGGGAGCAAACAGGAUUAGAUACCCCGGUAGUC
This 461-nucleotide ribosomal RNA is filed under the name uncultured bacterium. RNAcentral describes it as "partial 16S ribosomal RNA". It matches the Rfam family "Bacterial small subunit ribosomal RNA", at positions 338 to 795 of the family's 1533-position model. The record is from RNAcentral.